RNAcentral lists this ribosomal RNA (215 nucleotides) under uncultured bacterium. Its description in RNAcentral is "partial 16S ribosomal RNA". It matches the Rfam family "Bacterial small subunit ribosomal RNA", at positions 118 to 318 of the family's 1533-position model. The record is from RNAcentral.
UAGGUAACCUGCCUCUAAGAUUGGGAUAACUUGUCGAAAGACGAGCUAAUACCAAAUAAGACCACAGUCUCCUCGGGGACAGAGGUCAAAGGUAGCCUCUAUUUAUAAGCUAUCGCUGAGAGAUGGGCCUGCGUACCAUUAGCUUGUUGGUGAGGUAACGCUCACCAAGGCAAAGAUGGUUAGCUGGUCUGAGAGGAUGAUCAGCCACACUGGAA